Molecule: long non-coding RNA, 428 nt
Organism: Cygnus olor (mute swan)
Lineage: Eukaryota; Metazoa; Chordata; Aves; Anseriformes; Anatidae
Exons: 2
Source: RefSeq, a predicted model, not a curated record
CUUGCUCUCGCAGAGCGGCUCGGAGAAUUUCAUUGUCAUUUUUGUCCUUUGUUCUCCUCUCCCCACAGCCUCUGUAGAGUAACACGCCAGUAAUUAAGGUUUAUGUGCAAGACUGUCACCUCAGUAACUGGUGGCAGUGAGCAGUCUCCAUGUCCGUGCUCAUGCCCUGGAAGAACUGCUGGAUGCAGACCUUGGCAAAGCUCCUGGCAUGCUCGGUGCAGGUCUCGUCGAACAGCUUGCGCUCGAUGUCGAUGUAGUGGGACCAGUACCUGCUCUUCAGGAAGGCGGCUUGGGUGAAGCAGGGCCGGAGGGAUCUGACCAAGAAAGCCAGUGUGGUCAUCAGCAGCAUGAAGCACCAGCCCAGGGCCUGCAGGGGUGAGGGGUGAGACCAGAGCCAUCAUGGGCAGACCACAAAGACAUUCUUUUCC